ACUCCUACGGGAGGCAGCAGUGGGGAAUAUUGCACAAUGGGGGAAAGCCCUGAUGCAGCCAUGCCGCGUGUGUGAAGAAGGCCUUCGGGUUGUAAAGCACUUUCAGUAGGGAGGAAGGUAGUGUAGUUAACACCUGCACUAUUUGACGUUACCUACAGAAGAAGCACCGGCUAACUCCGUGCCAGCAGCCGCGGUAAUACGUAGGGUGCAAGCGUUGUCCGGAUUUAUUGGGUUUAAAGGGUGCGUAGGCGGGCUAUUAAGUCAGUGGUGAAAUCCAGCAGCUUAACUGUUGAUGUGCCAUUGAUACUGGUAGUCUUGAGUACAGAUGAGUAGGCGGAAUUGACAGUGUAGCGGUGAAAUGCAUAGAUAUUGUCAAGAACUCCGAUAGCGAAGGCAGCUUACUGGGCUGUAACUGACGCUGAUGCACGAAAGUGUGGGGAUCAAACAGGAUUAGAUACCCUGGUAGCUACGAGU
This 474-nucleotide ribosomal RNA is filed under the name uncultured bacterium. RNAcentral describes it as "bacterial SSU rRNA". It matches the Rfam family "Bacterial small subunit ribosomal RNA", at positions 335 to 802 of the family's 1533-position model. The record is from RNAcentral.